UAAGACGAACCGUGCGAACGUUGUUCGGAAUCACUGGGCUUAAAGGGCGCGUAGGCGGUCGGUCAAGUCCGGGGUGAAAUCCUGCAGCUUAACUGUAGAAGUGCCUUGGAUACUGGCUGGCUCGAGGGAGGUAGGGGUCUUUGGAACUUCUGGUGGAGCGGUGAAAUGCGUUGAUAUCAGAAGGAACGCCGGUGGCGAAAGCGAAAGACUGGACCUCUUCUGACGCUGAGGCGCGAAAGCCAGGGGAGCAAACGGGAUUAGAUACCCCGGUAGUCCUGGCCCUAAACGAUGGGUACUAGAUUGUAGACUUAUCAUGGGUUUACAAUCGAAGCAAAAGUGUUAAGUACCCCGCCUGGGGAGUAUGGUCGCAAGGCUG
This 376-nucleotide ribosomal RNA is filed under the name uncultured bacterium. RNAcentral describes it as "bacterial SSU rRNA". It matches the Rfam family "Bacterial small subunit ribosomal RNA", at positions 521 to 896 of the family's 1533-position model. The record is from RNAcentral.